This is a long non-coding RNA of Melospiza melodia melodia, 437 nucleotides long. RefSeq lists it as uncharacterized. NCBI's taxonomy places the organism in Eukaryota, Metazoa, Chordata, Aves, Passeriformes, Passerellidae. The record is from RefSeq and is a predicted model, not a curated record. The transcript has 3 exons.
UUGAGCUGAAAACACAAACAAACUUCUCCCGCCACGGCUUUCCCGACACUGCGGCUCCGGUGGCUCCGGCUCAGCGGGAAGCCCUGGAGCCUCACUUCUCCUACCCCUUAUUAGUAGCAGCAGUGCAUCGCUUUGAUUUCCCUCAAAAACGGAAAACUGCUCAAAACCUUUGUGGAUAAGUGGGGGAGGGGAGAGAUUUCUGACAGAGAACUUCAAAAACUCAGAGCAGGAUAAUGAGAAUCUUUUCUUCUCCAUCCAGACAAACUUUAUGAUUGACAGAUCAUGACUUGGGAGAACAACAAGGGGUCAUCCUCACAGCCAGAAGAGCUGCAACAACAUAAAUCCCAAAGCAGAUUUUUGCUGGAGACUGCAGAAUAAUCAUCUGUGUUAAGGAUGGAGUCCUCUGGGAAUUCUUUUCCCCAUGUGUAGAAACCUCC